UGGGGGGUAGCCAAGUGGUAAGGCACUGGACUUUGAAUCCAGUCAUCGUAGGUUCGACCCCUACCCCUCCAGCCA
RNAcentral lists this transfer RNA (75 nucleotides) under Bacillus sp. M6-12. Its description in RNAcentral is "tRNA-Gln". It matches the Rfam family "tRNA". From Rfam's summary of the family: Transfer RNA (tRNA) molecules are approximately 80 nucleotides in length. Their secondary structure includes four short double-helical elements and three loops (D, anti-codon, and T loops). The record is from RNAcentral. Lineage: Bacteria; Bacillati; Bacillota; Bacilli; Caryophanales; Bacillaceae.